Mastomys coucha (southern multimammate mouse) is the source of this 848-nucleotide long non-coding RNA. RefSeq lists it as uncharacterized. Lineage: Eukaryota; Metazoa; Chordata; Mammalia; Rodentia; Muridae. The transcript has 4 exons. The record is from RefSeq and is a predicted model, not a curated record.
UAUGAAACAACCUCACUGGGAGGGGAUAGCUCAUCAUCACCUUCUACUUAACCAGGUUUAGAAUCCCAUAGAAAAACACCUCUGGAAAUAGGAGCUACCAGAACAUAGCUGUACUUAACAAAAUUGAAUGUGUACUGGUGUUUUGCUAGCAUGUUUGCCUGUGCACCAUGUGCUUAACGGAUGGAGGAAGGCCAGAGGAGGUUGUCAAAUCCUCUAGAAGUGGAGUUACAGUUGGUUGUGAGCCACCAGGAGCUGCACUGUGGCCAAACAUCACUAUUUCUUCAGGUUUGGGAACAAACCGAGACUGUUUUCCUCCUGAGAAGCAAACACUUCAGAUAACUAGAGGCAGUUCUUAGAAAGAAUGUGGAUGGAUCUCCCCGCCUCCGAAGCUAAUCUGGAUGCCUGGCAAGUCUAUUUAUGAGGAAAGAGGUUCUUGGUCUUAUAGGAAUUUGGGAACAGAAUUCAGAAGGAAGCUUGGGGACAAUAUAGUUUGAAAGAAGGGCAAAGCAGCAGUCUUGGGAAUGAAGAUCUUCACCCAGCUACACACUGGAAUGGAGGGGUCUUCAGUGUCAGGACACAUACAGUUGAGAUCUUGAUCAGAAUCUGUGGAGAUAGCACUGCUUGUGCCAACUCCUUCCAGAGUGACCAAAAGCCCGGAGGUUCUGCAGAACUGGUUCUUAUGCACCCUAACCCGACACCGAAUGUGAUUGAGCCUUGUCUCCUCCCUGUGUUCUGUUUAUACUAUGUCUCGGGUACAGCCAUAUUUCACCUCAAGCUGAGGUGCUAUAAAUAAAGAGCUAGGACAUGUGCCAGCCUGUCUGGCAGGAACGGCGGUAUUCUAAAGAGAA